AUGAGGCAUAAAAUAUUCUUUUUGCUGUUACUCUAUGAUAGAAUUAGCACUAGAUGCCUAAUCAAAAGGAAAACUUGUUGCUUCAGAGCUAUGAGUGUGCUCUCUGCCAUGAGCAUGUCGAGGAAACAACUCCCCACCUACACUAGGACUACCCGUUUGCACUCUCAUGUUGGGAUCUCAUUGCCCCAAAUAGACACAGAGGAAUUUCUGUUUUUGAUGGAAUUAUCUUCCUUAAGCAAACCUUGCCCUCAUAGAUUGCCAUGGAUAUUCUUAGAAUGGGAUGUUGGAACAUAUGGAUGCAGAGAAAUGGAAAAAUCUUCAAUAAUAUCCUCCCAAGCCUGGAUUCUUGGAAGCAUGGCUUACAACAUGAUCUAUUGCUUGUCAAGCAUCAAACCAAAAGGAAGAACAUUACCUGCCUAG
RNAcentral lists this ribosomal RNA (420 nucleotides) under Triticum aestivum (bread wheat). RNAcentral describes it as "partial small subunit ribosomal RNA". The record is from RNAcentral. Lineage: Eukaryota; Viridiplantae; Streptophyta; Magnoliopsida; Poales; Poaceae.